GUGUAUUUGUCAAAGAGGAGGGGCAAAGAAACUGUACUGUUUGUUUUUUUGUUGAUGAUUUAUUAUUCUUUUGGAAAGAUGUUGCAAUGUACAAUAACGCCCUAGCUCAACUGAAAGAGCACUUUGACAUGAAAGAUCUUGGUGAGGUAAACAACUACCUAUCUCUGGAAAUAGAGAGAGAUCAAGAUGGUAACAUUCUAGUACACCAGUCACGGAAAAUUGCUGAUGUGUUAAGCAAACUAAAUCUGAUGGAUGCUAACCCUGUAGACACCCCGAUGACAACAGCUUAUCAGGUACAUGACACUGAAGAAGCAUUUUCUGACACUACACUGUACAGGAGUGUGCUAGGCAAGCUAAACUUCAUUGCCAGAUGUUCAAGACCAGACAUUGCUGUUAGCUGUAAUUUGCUAAGCAGACAAGUCAACAAUCCUAGUGUCAAGGAUUGGAAAGCUCUGAAACGCAUAGCGCGGUAUUUGAAAGGCACUAUGCAUUACAGACUGAGAUUUAACAAUCAGAAGUCUGGUGGUCUUGAGAUAUUUGCAGAUGCAAGUUUUGGAAGUGACGCUACAGACAGGAAAAGUACGUCUGGAGUUUGCUACAUGUACAAUCAGAGUCUGUUUGAUUGGUCAUGCAAGAAGCAAACAACAGUUAGCUUAAGUACUUGUGAAGCUGAACUGAAUGCACUGUCUUAUUCACUUAAGGAUUGUGAAUGGUUAGUACAAUUGUGCAAAGAUAUGAAAAUUCCUGUCAAAUGUCCAAUCCAGGUUUACCAGGACAACAAAGCAUGUUUGGCUUUGCUGAAGUCUGAAGGUUGUAAGCAAAGCACAAAGCACUUGCAAUUAAAGUUGCAGCAUGCUAGGGAAUGUAUUCAGAAGGGACUCGUAACGGUGUCCUAUAUGCCAGGUAAUGAAAUUCCUGCUGAUGUAUUGUCCAAGAUUGUAUCAAGGGAUCAACACUGUACCUAUGUGCAGAAGUUGGGUUUGUACUGAUAUUGUGCAAACACGCUGCCCAGUGAUGUUCACAGAAAGGGGGAGGAUGUUGGUUUCUAUUUCCCUCACUGAGCAGCAACUGCAGUCACAAGACAUUGUUUUGCAUUCCACAG
This 1102-nucleotide long non-coding RNA is filed under the name Podarcis lilfordi (Lilford's wall lizard). The record is from RNAcentral. Lineage: Eukaryota; Metazoa; Chordata; Lepidosauria; Squamata; Lacertidae.